RNAcentral lists this small RNA (2765 nucleotides) under Pyricularia oryzae. RNAcentral's name for it is "Magnaporthe oryzae sRNA M_BR32_EuGene_00061571". The record is from RNAcentral. Lineage: Eukaryota; Fungi; Ascomycota; Sordariomycetes; Magnaporthales; Pyriculariaceae.
UUUAUAUAAUCGAACAAAUUUCGGUAUAAUAUUAAUUUAAUUUUAGGAAAAUAAAAUAAAAAAGUAUUAUGCGCGUUGCAAAAUUGUGUUCAAAUAAAAAAACGCGUUAGGUUAAAUAAAUAAAUGUUAGGUGUUUGACAAAACGCGGAAUUAAAACCGUUAUUAAUAAUUUAAUUGUAUUUAGCCCAAUUUAAAUUUAGUAUAGUUAAUUGUUUUGUUUAAAGUUAGAAUGCACGCUUUUGUAAUUAAUUGCGGUGGUUUAAUACGCGACAAAAUUAAAAAUAACGACGGAUUUUACAAAACCGCCGAAAAUAUACAAAUAAUUGGAACUUUUAUAAAAAACCCUAAUUUUUAAAUAAUUAAACGCCGGGAAACAAACGCUUUUUUAAAAAAUAAUAUUGCGGAAAAAUAUAAUAAUAAUUUUUUGGUUGUAAAUAUCCAACCUUUUUUUUUAUUAAAUUUGGGGACGUUUAUAAAAAAUAAACGUUCGACCCAUUUAAAAAACCCUAUAUACCCAAUUUGCUCGAAAUUAAAAAUGGCGCCGAUAGAAUUUUUGGAUCGUUUACCCAAACCCCAAUUCGCAAAAAAAAACGUACUAUUAAAAAUCCCAUUCCGAAAAAAAAAUUAUCCAUUACCAAACGUAUUUUUUUUUCCUAAUUAACGUUUAUUUUUCUUUUGCAAUUUUAUUUUACGGAUUUAUAUAAAUAUAUUAUUAUAACGACGGUUAUUAUUAGGAUUUUUUUUUUAAAUUUAUCGUUGGAAAUUAUAAUAAAAUAAUUAAUUAAAACGAUAUAAAAUUGGUAACGGGAAAGUUAGUGGUGGUGGCGGAUCGGUUAUAUUUACAAAUUUAAAUUGCGACGUAAUAAUUUCCCUAUUUUGCGCGUUAUUUUUGCGUUAUUAUUAUUAUUUAUUAACGGCGAAAAAAAUAACGUAAUAUUUUUUAAUUACGCCCUAUUUUAAAUAAAAAUUUGUCCGUUUUUUAUUAUUUUUCCGGGAUCCGGUUAUAUUUAUUUUAUCGAAAUUUAUAACUUUUUUUUCCGAAUUUUCGUAUAUUUUGUAAACCAAUUUUCCUUUUAUAUUUAUUAUUCCGUUAAUAUUUAAUUUAUUUGGCCGGUUAUUUCCCUUUUCCGUAUAUUCCGCCACGUUUUCCAUAUCCGCCUAAUAUAAUAUAUUUUCGGAUCGUAUAAUUUUUUGGUUAAAAACCUCCAAUUUAUCGCCAAUUAAUUUUUAUAUACCCAAUUAAAAAAAAUUAGGACCGUCGAAAUCGAAUAAAAAUAAUAUUUCGUUUUCCUCGUUUCCCCAAUUAUUUUAAAAUAACAAAUACGUAUAAUAUAUCAUAUUAUUAUUUGUUAAUAUUAUAUAAUAUUUAUUAUUAAUGCGAAUUUGUACGAAAUUUUCCAAAAUUUUACGCAACGUGUUCGCAAUAAACCCCAAUACGGCGCAAUAUAUAAAAAUUUUUCGCAAAUUAUAGGUAAAAUUGCGGUUAUUUUUAAUAUUUAUAACAAAACCCCUAUUAAUAUAUUUAAUUACUAAAUUUGCUAAUUUAAAUCCGUUCCCGGCCGUAAUAUAUUUUACAAAUGUUAAUUUCAAAAUUCCCGUACGUAACGGCGGAUUUAUAAUUUUUGGAUAUAAUAAUUAAAUUAAAUAUAAUAUUUUUGGGCCGUAAUUUUUUAUUUUAUAACCGUAAAAACUUAAAACCAAUUGCGGUAUUAUUAUUUUUAAUAUAUCGUAAUUUUUUUCGUAAAACGCGUUAAUAAUAAUUUAUAAAAGGUUAAUUAUUUGCAAAUAGCGGCGUUACGUGCGGAAAAUAAUAUUAAUUUUGGGGUUAUUAUUUUAUAAUUUAAUAUUUAUUAAUAGGUUAAUUUAACCGGCAAAUAUAUUAUUAUAAAUUCGGUAUAUUAUAAACGUAUAUAAAUUUGGCAAUAUUCCCGAAAAAACCUGCUCCAAUAUUUUUUUGGAAAUAUAUUUCUUUUCCAAUAAAUUAUUUUGGAUUAAAGUGGCGAUUAUAAUAUAUAAUAUGCGGGAAUAAAAUAUAUUUUGUAAAAAUUGUAAAACGUGGUAAAAUUCCUUUUUAUUUUUUUAUAAAUUUCGAUUUUUUCCUCAUUUUAUUAUAUAUAUUAAUAUAAUAAAUAUAUAUAUUUACCAAAAAUAGUUAAUAAAAUUAAAUUCGAUAUAAAAAAAUCCUGGUAUAAAUAAUAUCCAUUAUUUUUUAUCGAAUGGUUAAAAUAAUUCGAUAUGGGUUGUUUAAAUAGUACGGAUAUAUAACGUGGUUUUUUAAUCCCCGUAAAUAAAAAGGAAAAUAAACAAAUAAUCGAAAUUAAUAAAUUGCAAAUUUAAAAAAUAUUUAAAAAUCUUUUUAUAAAUUUGCAUAACGUUUAUAUAUUCCCCCUCGUUUUUUUAAAAUGGCAGGGGUUUAAAUAAAAUAGGAUUUUAAUAUAACGCGUGCGAAUAUAAAAUAUUGCGGGAUUAUAUCGGGCGAAUAGGGAUAAUUGGGAAAAAAAUAAUUAUAAAUUUGGUCGAAAAUAUAAUAUUUGGCGCAUUUGUAAUAAUUAUCCGGAUAUUGCAAAAAUGCGGACGUUUGGAACCAUUUAUAAUGGAAAAACACGGUAAUAUAUUAUUGGGUUUACGUAUAUUUUUCGAAAUUUGGAAUCGAUAUAAAAAAACAAAACAUUAGGUUUUAUAUUUAAUUAUACCGCCCGUAUCCGAAAUUUUGCACUUUUUUUAAAAAAUUAAAAUUAUUAUAUACGAAAAAUAAUAUUAGGUUA